AGUCGUAACAAGGUCUCCGUUGGUGAACCAGCGGAGGGAUCAUUACUGAGUUAUUAAAACUCCAAACCCUUUGUGAACCUUACUGUCGUUGCCUCGGCGUGAGCUACGGCUACCCUGUAGUUACCCUAUAGCUACCCUGCAGCUACCCUAUAGUUGACCAGUGGCUACCCUGUAGUUACCCUAUAGCUACCCUGCAGCUACCCUAUAGUUGAUCAGUAGCUACCCUGUAGCCGGCUUAUGGCCCGCCGAAGGACCGCUAAACUCUUGUUUUUUACCACUGUUUCUCUGAAUUGUAAACUUAAAUAAGUUAAAACUUUCAACAACGGAUCUCUUGGUUCUGGCAUCGAUGAAGAACGCAGCGAAAUGCGAUAAGUAAUGUGAAUUGCAGAAUUCAGUGAAUCAUCGAAUCUUUGAACGCACAUUGCGCCCAUUAGUAUUCUAGUGGGCAUGCCUAUUCGAGCGUCAUUUCGACCCUUAAGCCCCUGUUGCUUAGCGUUGGGAAUCUACAGCGUAGUUCCUUAAAGUUAGUGGCGGAGUUAGGGUACACUCUCAGCGUAGUAAUCUUUCUCGCUCGUGUGGUGGCCCUGGCUGCUAGCCGUUAAACCCCUAUAUUUUCUAGUGGUUGACCUCGGAUUAGGUAGGAAUACCCGCUGAACUUAAGCAUAUCAAUA
This 671-nucleotide unclassified non-coding RNA is filed under the name leaf metagenome. RNAcentral's name for it is "partial contains small subunit ribosomal RNA, internal transcribed spacer 1, 5.8S ribosomal RNA, internal transcribed spacer 2, and large subunit ribosomal RNA". The stretch from base 312 to 465 matches the Rfam family "5.8S ribosomal RNA". The record is from RNAcentral.